RNAcentral lists this ribosomal RNA (494 nucleotides) under uncultured bacterium. RNAcentral's name for it is "partial 16S ribosomal RNA". It matches the Rfam family "Bacterial small subunit ribosomal RNA", at positions 28 to 507 of the family's 1533-position model. The record is from RNAcentral.
GACGAACGCUGGCGGCGUGCUUAACACAUGCAAGUCGAACGGUGAAGCGCCUUCCUUUUUGGUGGGUGUGGAUGAGUGGCGAACGGGUGAGUAACACGUGAGUAACCUGCCCCCUUCUUCUGGAUAACCGCAUGAAAGUGUGGCUAAUACGGGAUAUUCUGGGUCUGUCGCAUGAUGGGUCUGGGAAAGAUAUUGUUUCGGUGGGGGAUGGGCUCGCGGCCUAUCAGCUUGUUGGUGGGGUGAUGGCCUACCAAGGCGGUGACGGGUAGCCGGCCUGAGCGGGUGGACGGGCAGACGGGGGAUGAGGCACGGCCCAGGCUGCUACGGGAGGCAGCCGGGGGGAAUAGGGGACAAUGGGGGGGAGACUGAUGCAGCGACGCCGCGUGAGGGAUGGAGGCCUUCGGGUUGUGAACCUCUUUCGCCAGUGAAGCAGGCCUGCCUCGUUUGUGGGUGGGUUGACGGUAGCUGGAGAAGAAGCGCCGGCUAACUACGUG